Molecule: long non-coding RNA, 1141 nt
Filed under: Homo sapiens (human)
Lineage: Eukaryota; Metazoa; Chordata; Mammalia; Primates; Hominidae
Description: non-protein coding lnc-ZNF720-1:7
Source: RNAcentral
CUCCCAGGUGCGCUUCCCUGCUUGAUCUGUGUACCCUGCUCUUUCUCCUUCAUUCCGCAGCCUCCUUUGCCCUGUGACCUGCAGGUACUGGACGGUCCCUAGAGAGGAUACCGGGACGCUCCUGAAGCCGCGAGAUGGAUGGGUCUUCCAUGAUACUGAAGGGAGAGCCACAUGUUGAUGCCCAGGACCAGCUGCCUCCUUGGUCUGAAAGGCCUGAUCGAGGCCAGGAUUGGCUAUGAGAGCUGGGAAAUGGGACCAUCUUUGAAGCCAUGGGAGAGGGUGAGAGCCACCAUCACUCAUGUUCUUGAAUGGGAACUGCCUGGAGACCCUGAAGAAGAAGGAGCCUGAAGGAGGAAGGAGGAGGCUGAGCCAUCCCGGGAACAUGGGCUGGAUGAGGCCAAGCCAGGAGACGACACCACCAGAUAGAAGUCACCAUUCAGGAUUUGGACUUUUCUGUGGAGAUCCUGGCCCCGAGAUCGAACCCUUCUCCCUGUGGGUGUUCCCGCAGGAGAUGGUGCUGGAGAUCCACCAGCUGUUCAUGGACCAUGAAUACCCAUGUCACCACAUCACUUCUCACUGCACCUGGGUGGCAGCACACUGGACCACGUCUCAGAGCUGCGCAGCAUGGCAGGGCUGCAGGCGGGCUUGCUGCUCCACGUGGUGGAAGAGCCCUGCACAAUGCACAAGGCCCACGGUGAUGAGUGCCACAUUUGAGACUGCUCAGGAGCCUGGACCCAGCUGAUGCAGCUCCUUGUCCUUCCUGAGCGUCUUCACUGACAGUGGCCUGAGAGACGGCAGGAGCAGAAAGACUUGGAGAUGGACCCCACCGACUGCACACCACCCAAGUACAUCCUGCUAGGGACCCUGGAACAGCCACUGUGUCCCCUGCAACCCCAGAACGGUGACUAAAAGCCCCUGAAAGUGCUCACCGUGAGCGGCUGGUACCUGUCCCCUGGGAACUGCAAGAUGCACAGGACCUUGUGUACCUGUUUGUGAUCACAGCCGAGGACCAGCGAGGUAGCAUUACCACAUCCACACAGGGCUUUUACCAUAACUGGUGAGUCCCUGCCAGCCUACCAGGGGCACCCACUCAGGGACCACCCUCUUCUUGUAGGUCUCCAGCCUGUCACUUCAACCCCAA